UCUUCAUUUCCGACACUCUCUCGCCGGUCAGAGAGGGGAAAGAGUGUGUGAAAUGAAGAGA
This 61-nucleotide microRNA precursor is filed under the name Pristionchus pacificus. Its description in RNAcentral is "mir-8364 microRNA precursor family". It matches the Rfam family "mir-8364 microRNA precursor family". The record is from Rfam by way of RNAcentral. Lineage: Eukaryota; Metazoa; Nematoda; Chromadorea; Rhabditida; Neodiplogasteridae.